GGGAUGGGCUGGGGGUAGUUAUUGCGCGUAGAUAAUUGUAGGUGUUAAUUAGCGCUUUAAUAACUUGAGGGGGGGUAUUCAAGCGAUGGGUGUUUUGGGAGAGUAUAAUUAUUGUGUGAGCUCAGUUAUGGUGUACGUGAGGCGGAUGGGGGGUUAAUUAAUGAGGUCCCGAAGGGGGUAAUUAGCUGAGGGAAUGGGGACUGGGAAGUUCAGUUUCUCCAGGGAGGGGGGAGGCAGAGAACAGCGCCCCCUGGCGGAGGGAGGGGGAACGGGCGUCUUUGUGAGGCUGGGGGGGGUAAUUAGCGGGGAGGGUUAAUGAGCGGGAAUAGCGAGUUCGGGGCGAGCUGUGGGGCAGGCAGCGGGUGGGGGGGCAGUUAUGGAGCUGCUCUUGGGGCACUUGUGGGGCGGGGGGGCGGUUAGCGGGGACUUGGGGGGCACGGCUGUGGGGCUGCUUGAGAGACGUUGGGCAGCGCCAGGGAUCAGUUCAAGCUGCGGUUGUGGGGCAGUGUCGGGGUUGGGGGCUGGUUGUGGGGCAGGUCUUGGGGCCAGUUGUGGGGCAAACGAUGGAGGCGUUUAGCAGCUAAUCUUAGGGGAGGAGUUAUGGGGCAGAUUUCAGGGACGAUCAUUGGGACCGGGGGGUGGAGAAAGUUAUGGGGCAGUUGUUGGGUGUCUUUAACAGUAUCGUACAGGUGGUUGUAGGGCAGGAGUGGGGCUCUGGGGUGCAGUUAUGGGGCACUGAUCCCCCCCCAGAAGCCAGCAGUUUCCAUUAUAGAGCAGAUGUGGGGCUCUGGGGUGCAGUUAUGGGGCACUGAUCCUCCUCCAGGGCCUAGCACCCCUGUUAUAGAACAGGUGUGGGGCCUUGGGGCGCAGUUAUGGGGCACUGACCCCCCCCCCCCAGAGCCUAGCAGCCCUCGUUAUGGGGCAGAUAUGGGGGUUUUGGGUGCAGUUCUGGGGCACUGGUCUCCUGUUCUCUCUCCCCAGAGCCCAGCAGCCCCCAUUAAAGAGCAGAUGUGGGGCUCUGGCGUGCAGCUAUGGGGCGCUGACCCCCUCAGAGCCUGGCAGCCCCCAAUAGUGAGCAGAGCCCAGCAGCCCCAUGGCGGCGGCGGCCCCGGGCGGGGGGUCCCCGCUGCCCCCCCCCGCGUUGACGCCGCGCUGGAAGCGGGUGGUGGGGUGGUCGGGGCCCGUCCCCCGCCCCCGGCACGGGCACCGCGCCGUGGCCAUCAAGGAGCUGAUCGUGGUGUUCGGCGGCGGCAACGAGGGCAUCGUGGAUGAGCUGCACGUCUACAACACCGNGACCUGAGGGUGGGUUUUGAGCUCCCAUAGGGGCUCAUGGGGCUGGGGGGGUCAGGGCAGCCCCUAAGGACGUGGGGUGCCCAGUGGUCCAUACAGACUUGGGCGGGGGGGAAGGGAUAGGGUCCUAGAGCGGCCCUGGGGGCCCCAUAGGGACCUGUGGGACUGGGGGGGGUCCGUGGGGCGCCUUUGGUUCCGGGUUUGGGGCGUUUUGGGGGGUCCCGUAAUCAUCAAUGGGACUGGGAGGGGGCAGAGGGACUGGGGGGGGUCCUGAGGAUCCGUACGGAUGUGUGGGAUUAACGAUCCCGGGCUGGGGGAUGGGGGGGGAACGGGGACCACAGGGACCCAUGGGAUCGGGGGUCUCAGAGGGACUGGGAGUUCGUGGGGAUCUAUAGGGACCCGUGAACCGGAGGGGGGGGGCGGGGCCCCCAAGAGCCCGCGGGGUUCCCAUGCGGGGAUCCGUGGACUCUCCCCCCUCCACGCAGCCCCGUGGGACCCCACGGCGAAUCCGCCCCCCCCCCACCCCCCAUAGCAGUGACGUCACCAUAGCACGGCCCCUCUCCCCGCGCGCACCACCACCCCGUGACGUCACGAAAGGGGCGGGGCUCCCGGAAACGCCGUUUUCCCGCCGCCCGCUGACCACGCCCCCUCCGACGGCCGUGCCCAUGGCAACCGAGGGGGCGGUGCCAAACCGCUCCCAAGAUGGCGGCCUUAAAGGGGCCGCGCCCCGCUAAUUCGUCCCGCAGCGCCCAGUGGGGUCCGCGUGUCCCCAGUGUCACCGCGGGGGUGGGGGUCCCGGGGACACGGGGGUGGUGGGGGGAGAGGGUGAAGCGUUUGGGGGAAAUUGGGGCGGUUUUGGGUCACAUUGUGUGUGCAGGAGUCACCUUGGAGGGGGGGGUCAGGGGCCUCUCCGUGGGACGUUACGGCUUCUAGGGUGUGGGAGGAGUGGGCGGUUUGGGGUCACCCGAGGGCUUGGGGGGCCCUGGGGGUGGUAGGGCGCAAUGGGGGGGUUGGGAUGUGGGGGAUCCCGGGGGGCUUGGGGGAAAACACGGCGAUUUGGGUGGCAGCUGGGGAAGGGGGGGACGUUGGGCACCUCAAAGGAAUGUGGGGCACCUGGGGGGGGGAAUUGGGCGCACAGUGUGGGGAGAACAGCGGGGUUGGGGGCACCCCGGGCAGUGUUGAGGCUCCUGAAGGGAUCUGGGCGCAAAUUGGGGGGGGGGAGGCUUUAUGACGCCCAGUGGUUGCGGUUUUGGGGCAAAUUGAAGCUCUUUUCGGCUCUCACCCCCCCCCACCCUCUCCCGCCCCACGGCGGCGGUUCGGGGCCACCCCCAGAGGCGGAGCCACGGCGGGGACCGGGGCUGAGGGCAGCGGCCGGCGCCUCCCAACGGCGCCCGUAGAGCGGGGACACGGCCCAUGGGGUGCAGUCCCGACCCCGCGGCCCUCCCUGGCUCCGUCCCGCGGCCCGCUGUCCCCCUCACCGUGCGGUCCCCGCGCGGGGCUGUGGCGGAGCCCCGGAGCGCGCUCCGCCCGCGGGGACGGCGGCGCCCAAAAUGGCGGCGGCGCUGAGGGAAGACUGAGGGGACCCCACGGGGACCGCCCGGAUCUCCCCUUAAACCGCGUUCCCGGGGGGAACCAUGAGGAGAAGUGGGGGCGAAUCGAGGAGAAGGAGGGAAAAAAACUCGAAAUUAGGGUGUCUGAGUAAAAAUAGGCGAAGAUGAAGCACUGCGCAUGCGCAAUAAACUUUGGGCGGGAAACA
Molecule: long non-coding RNA, 3046 nt
Organism: Numida meleagris (helmeted guineafowl)
Lineage: Eukaryota; Metazoa; Chordata; Aves; Galliformes; Numididae
Source: Ensembl